GUGAGGAAUAUUGGUCAAUGGGCGAGAGCCUGAACCAGCCAAGUCGCGUGAAGGAAGAAGGAUCUAUGGUUCGUAAACUUCUUUUGCAGGGGAAUAAAGUGCAGGACGUGUCCUGUUUUGUAUGUACCCUGAGAAUAAGGAUCGGCUAACUCCGUGCCAGCAGCCGCGGUAAUACGGAGGAUCCGAGCGUUAUCCGGAUUUAUUGGGUUUAAAGGGUGCGUAGGUGAUUUGAUAAGUCAGCGGUGAAAGUUUGCAGCUUAACUGUAAAAAUGACGUUGAAACUGUCGGACUUGAGUGUAAAUGAGGUAGGCGGAAUGCGUGGUGUAGCGGUGAAAUGCAUAGAUAUCACGCAGAACUCCGAUUGCGAAGGCAGCUUACUAAGCUACAACUGACACUGAAGCACGAAAGCGUGGGGAUCAAACAGGAUUAGAAACCCCGGUAGUCC
RNAcentral lists this ribosomal RNA (445 nucleotides) under uncultured bacterium. Its description in RNAcentral is "partial 16S ribosomal RNA". It matches the Rfam family "Bacterial small subunit ribosomal RNA", at positions 354 to 796 of the family's 1533-position model. The record is from RNAcentral.